AGAGACAGAGACAGUGUGUACCAUUUUAUAAUAUGAGAGCUCUGCAUCUUCUAAGACCUGAGGAAGGUCAUCCCAGCUUUCUGUCAGGAAAGGAAACAGCACUUCUCAAAAAAUAGAAAGAGCAUGAUAUGGAGCUGGAGAGGAGGGGAGAGGAGAACAGAAGGCAAGGUGGGAAAGGACACCUGGCAGAGACAACAUCUGGAUCCUGAACCUGGAGGAGAAAUCCACUUAUAUCUCACUUUAGAUUUGCCAGCUGCUUUUAUUUUUAUUUGGACUUACAGAAAGGUUGAGAAGAAAAUACGGGAGUGAACUGUAGCAAUAAACGGU
Long non-coding RNA from Homo sapiens (human), 327 nucleotides. RefSeq lists it as uncharacterized. Lineage: Eukaryota; Metazoa; Chordata; Mammalia; Primates; Hominidae. The record is from RefSeq and is a predicted model, not a curated record. The transcript is spliced from 3 exons.